UAAUAAGUGUUUUAUGGCACUUUUUAAAUCCAUAUCCACCUUGUGUGCAAUGUCAGUCGAUCUUCUUCUUGAGGAUCGACCAAACAUCAACCUUUAUCUUUUAACUCUUUGUCUGAAAAAUAUUAUGAAUAAACAAUUCAAAAUA
RNAcentral lists this unclassified non-coding RNA (145 nucleotides) under soil metagenome. Its description in RNAcentral is "partial internal transcribed spacer 1". The record is from RNAcentral.